RNAcentral lists this ribosomal RNA (440 nucleotides) under uncultured bacterium. RNAcentral's name for it is "partial 16S ribosomal RNA". It matches the Rfam family "Bacterial small subunit ribosomal RNA", at positions 338 to 795 of the family's 1533-position model. The record is from RNAcentral.
CCUACGGGUGGCAGCAGUGGGGAAUAUUGCACAAUGGGGGAAACCCUGAUGCAGCGACGCCGCGUGAGUGAAGAAGUAUUUCGGUAUGUAAAGAUCUCUCAGCAGGGAAGAAAAUGACGGUACCUGAUUAAGAAGCCCCGGCUAACUACGUGCCAGCAUCCGCGGUAAUACGUAGGGGGCAAGCGUUAUACGGAUUUACUGGGUGGAAAGGGAGCGUAGACGGCAGGACAAGUCUGGAGUGAAAUGCCGGGGCUUAACCCCGGAACUGCUUUGGAAACUGUACAGCUAGAGUGCAGGAGAGGUAAGCGGAAUUCCUAGUGUAGCGGUGAAAUGCGUAGAUAUUAGGAGGAACACCAGUGGCGAAGGCGGCUUACUGGACUGUAACUGACGUUGAGGCUCGAAAGCGUGGGGAGCAAACAGGAUUAGAUACCCGUGUAGUC